Onychomys torridus (southern grasshopper mouse) is the source of this 241-nucleotide long non-coding RNA. RefSeq lists it as uncharacterized. The transcript has 3 exons. The record is from RefSeq and is a predicted model, not a curated record. NCBI's taxonomy places the organism in Eukaryota, Metazoa, Chordata, Mammalia, Rodentia, Cricetidae.
CAAAAAGCUAUGGAUUCCUUCAAAAUUGAUAAAGAUCAGAUUUGACUGGGGGAGAUCUCCUGAAAAAAUUUGACCACAGACAUGAAUGAAGAAACCAAGAGACUCUACAAGACAGGUCCACUCUCCCACCAGAUACAUGCCAAGUUCUACCCACAGAAGGCCCUACAGAUACGCCAGCCCCUGCACUAGUUCCAAGGACACCAACUAGGAGAAUGAAGGCUAAGGAAUCUGAAGAACACUG